GACGAACGCUGGCGGCGUGCUUAACACAUGCAAGUCGAACGGAAAGGCCCUGCUUUUGUGGGUUGGUCGAGUGGCGAACGGGUGAGUAACACGAGAGUAACCUGCCCUUGACUUUGGGAUAAGUUCAGGAAACUGGGGCUAAUCCAGGAUAGGAGCUCCUGCUGCAUGGUGGGGGUUGGACAGUUUCGGCGGUUGGGGAUGGACGCGCGGCUCAUCAGCUUGUUGGUAGGGUAGUGGCUUACCAAGGCUUUGACGGGUAGCCGGCCUGAGCGGGUGACCGGCCACGUUGGGACUGAGAUACGGGCCAGACGCCUACGGGAGGGAGCAGUGGGGAAUAUUGCACAAUGGGCGGAAGCCGGAUGCAGCAACGCCGCGUGCGGGAUGACGGCCUUCGGGUUGUAAACCGCUUUCGCCUGUGACGAAGCGGGAGUGACGGUAAUGGGUAAAGAAGCACCGGCUAACUACGUG
RNAcentral lists this ribosomal RNA (468 nucleotides) under uncultured bacterium. RNAcentral's name for it is "partial 16S ribosomal RNA". It matches the Rfam family "Bacterial small subunit ribosomal RNA", at positions 28 to 507 of the family's 1533-position model. The record is from RNAcentral.